CCCAAAUCAAUCCUUGAUAUCUGCAAAUCAUUCCUAGGCUUUCCUUCCCUUCUUGUAUUCUAGAUUUGAUUUUAUUAGCUGUGAUUGUGGGAUUGACUAGCUGUAUAGAAGGGUAAAUGUAUGGUAAUAGUUUGUAUAUAUAUCAGUAACAAUGUAAGGUUCCUGUAAGGUAUGAAGAGAGAAACCAUUGUAGUUUUCUUCUCACACUUUUCUUCUCAUUCCAUUUUAUUAUGGUAUCAAAGCAGUGACUGAUCUGCCUCUUCAAACCAUGACAGAGAAACAAAACGAAAAAGCUUCCAAUUCAAAUGAUGCCUUGGGAUCAAUCAACGAUCCCUUCUUCAUUCCUCAUUCUGACAGUCCAACUGCUGUUUUAGUUUCCCCUCUCCUCUCAGGAGAUAACUAUAGAACGUGGCUUCGCGCAAUGACCAUGGCACUUCGCGCUAAAAAUAAGUUGGGCUUCGUCGACGGAACAAUCGAAAUACUCACGGAGUCCAGCAUGUUGCGUCAAUGGGAGCGAUGCAAUGAUCUGGUUAGUUCAUGGAUUCUCAACUCCACAGAAACUGCGAUCCGUGGGAGCAUUCUUUACGCUGAAACAGCUAGAGAAGUGUGGCUGGAUCUUCGUGAUCGAUUCACCCAAAUCAAUGCUCCGAAAAUCUAUCAACUGAAGCAAGCCAUUGGUAAAACAACACAAGAAGAUACUACCGUCUCCACAUAUUUUACAAGGAUGAAGGCACUAUGGGAUGAACUCAAUUCCCUCUCCACUGUACAGCCUUGCACUUGUGGCCAUGGAAAAGCGAAUGCUGCUCUCCAUCAACAAGAUCAUGCCGUGGAGUUCCUCUAAGGCCUCCAUGAGCGCUAUUCUAGUCUACGAAGUCAGAUUCUUUUAAUGGAGCCAUUUCCAAGUGCCGCCAAGAUUUAUGCUCUCGUGCGACAAGAAGAGAAGCAACAGGAAAUACACUCUUCAACCCCUUCUACAACCAUGCCCGAAGCUGCUGCAUUAAUAGCCAAUUCAGUUACUUCCAAUGGCACAGAAAACCAGUCUACACCUUCUCAAAAUCAUGCUAAUCUCAGCACCAAUUCUAGGGGUUCGGGUCAUCACCCAAAACAGAUCAUCCAAUCGGUACAACGGAAAUCCUAAUCAGCGCAACAUAGGUGGAGACCAUCGCCAAACUGAGAAACCAAGGAUGUACUGUGAUUACUGUGAUCGAAAUAACCAUAACCAAGAUACAUGUUAUAGGUUGCAUGGUUAUCCCACAGAUAAACCAAGAGGUUCCUCAAAUAACCAUAGACUUUCGAGUUCCUCUUCUUCAGGAGCUCCUCGAUCCAACGAUCGAGCAAUGGUGGCUGCUCCAUUGAUUACCCAAGACCAAUACAACAAUAUUUUGGCCAUGCUUUCUUCAGGUAGCAUUAAUUCUCAAGCCAACUUAGCAGGACCUGUCCGUGAAGAAGACGAUUGGACUGGGUAGUGCACAUGGUGGCCUUUACUACCUUCAAAACCCUUCUGCACAUUUCAUUACUGGUACACCUACCAUCGACAUUUGGCAUUGGCGGCUUGGGCAUCCUUCUCAUCAUCGGUUUUUAGAGUUAGCCAAAAAUGUUCCUUUUAUUUCUUGUUCCAAUAAAUAUGUUUGUGAUGUUUGCCCUCAAGCAAAACAAACCAGGUUGAGUUUUCCCACUAGCUCUAUUUCAUCUAUUAAACCGUUCCAAUUGAUUCAUGUUGACAUAUGGGGGAGUUUUUCCCAGCAAUCUAUGAGUGGUGCACGUUAUUUUCUUACUAUCGUGGAUGAUUUCUCAAGAUGUACUUGGGUAUACCUUAUGCGUUUUAAAUCUGAUACAAGCUAUCAUUUAAAAUCGUUUUUUUCCAUGGUGAAAACCCAGUUUCAAGGCAAAAUAACACAUGUAUUUUCUGGUGAUGGUGACUUAUUUCUUCCCCAAAUUCAACAAGUUCGUUCUGAUAAUGGGAGUGAAUUUUUGUCAAAUAAAAUGCAACACUUCUUUUCUGAAAAUGGUGUUAUUCAUCAAAGAAGUUGUGUAUCUACACCUCAACAAAAUGGCGUUGUUGAAUGGAAACACCGACAUCUCUUGGAAGUUG
Rhododendron vialii is the source of this 2092-nucleotide RNA transcript. RefSeq lists it as uncharacterized. The transcript is spliced from 2 exons. The record is from RefSeq and is a predicted model, not a curated record. Lineage: Eukaryota; Viridiplantae; Streptophyta; Magnoliopsida; Ericales; Ericaceae.